Molecule: ribosomal RNA, 497 nt
Filed under: uncultured bacterium
Lineage: Bacteria
Description: partial 16S ribosomal RNA
Rfam family: Bacterial small subunit ribosomal RNA
Source: RNAcentral
GAUGAACGCUGGCGGCGUGCCUAAUACAUGCAAGUCGAGCGAACGGACGAGAAGCUUGCUUCUCUGAUGUUAGCGGCGGACGGGUGAGUAACACGUGGAUAACCUACCUAUAAGACUGGGAUAACUUCGGGAAACCGGAGCUAAUACCGGAUAAUAUUUUGAACCGCAUGGUUCAAAAGUGAAAGACGGUCUUGCUGUCACUUAUAGAUGGAUCCGCGCUGCAUUAGCUAGUUGGUAAGGUAACGGCUUACCAAGGCAACGAUGCAUAGCCGACCUGAGAGGGUGAACGGCCACACUGGAACUGAGACACGGUCCAGACUCCUACGGGAAGCAACAGUAGGGAAUCUUCCGCAAUGGGCGAAAGCCUGACGGAGCAACGCCGCGUGAGUGAUGAAGGUCUUCGGAUCGUAAAACUCUGUUAUUAGGGAAGAACAAAUGUGUAAGUAACUGUGCACAUCUUGACGGUACCUAAUCAGAAAGCCACGGCUAACUACGUG